Lutra lutra (Eurasian river otter) is the source of this 1193-nucleotide long non-coding RNA. RefSeq lists it as uncharacterized. The record is from RefSeq and is a predicted model, not a curated record. The transcript has 3 exons. Lineage: Eukaryota; Metazoa; Chordata; Mammalia; Carnivora; Mustelidae.
CAAGCCUGUAAAGGUCUAGUUCUCACACUCAGUCCUUCUCAAGACCCCAAGCUCUGGUUGUCUUGAAAAUGUGUUUAACUGGUUAUGAAAAGGACUGGGUAGGAGAAAAAUCUAUUCUGCCUCGGGGCACCUGGAUGGCUCAGUCGGUUGGGCUUCUGCCUUUGGCUCAGAUCAUGAUCCCAGUGUCCUGGGAUCAAGUCCCACAUUGGGCUCGUAGGGAUGUGCUUCAUUCCAAGGAGAACUGGAGCUCUCCACAGACCGCUUACUACGAUGCAAGGCACAGGUGUCCGUGUGUUUGGAGCAAAAUGAGCCACUGUUGACAAUUGUAAAGGAAGGAAGAACGGCUGUUUGCAUCUGGGUGUGGGGUAAGAAAGAGAGAACAGCUGGUGGCAGCUGUGGCAGACAAGAAAGUAACCCAGUGAGCAGCUGCUGGUAGUUCAGAAUCUACUAGACUGCCUGGAAUAACUGAAAUCCAGAAGAAGCAUGUGAGACUCGACUUAACUACUUUACUGUACCCUGCUCUUCAUUAGAUCUGACUUGUCCUUCAUUAGGGACAUUCCCAUGAUAGCCGCAUAAGGACUCCCAGUGGGAAUAUCAGACCCCUCCUUCCCAUCCAUAACCCUUUGGAAAAUCACACCAAGAAAAGUAAAACGGCACAGACGUUACUUCCAGUAAGCCCAUGCUUAUUUUUUACAAGAGGAAGCAGUCUAUGGUUGACAAGGGAAGGAAUGUUACCAGUGAUGGAUCUAUCAUAAGAAUGGGCAUAAAGAAUUCUUUCUAUAUUACAAGAGAUUGUGGUCAUUUUGAUGAUGAUCCCACACUUCAGAAUUCAGUAGGCUAACAUAAUGUGAUAACUUAAGUGUAAUAGAAGCCUAGAAAAAUAACAUUUUAAAUCCCUGUCAGGGGUUUCAAUGUUUGUUUUCUCAUAUGUAUGUAAUCCUGUGAAUGUGUAUACAUAGAAAUAUUUCCCUCUACUUUCUUUUUUAUUCUUAAUAAAAAGAAGAUAAAGAUGUCUUUAUAUCAUGCAUCUGGUGACAAAAUAUUUGGUUGGUUGUCAUGCUUCCCACUGGUUCUUUUACUCAUCUGGAAUUCUAAGGUAAACUGAGAGGCCCCAAAAUGUGUCAUCUACUUCUCAUCUUGUUCAUCACAGAAGAAAAGCAUCUCAUCACUCCAAUUUAUAGAAUUUCAGCUCU